UGGCCAACCAGUUGCCGAUGUGAAGCCCUCAUGAAGGACCCUUGUGGAAUGCACACUCCCCACUUGGAUUCUAGCAAAAUGGUAUUUAGAGGCCACUUGUUGGAAAUUAUCACUGGACUGUUAAGACGACUAUAUCAUUUGAAACAGGAGUUCCAGGAGUUCCAGAUUCAACUUGCUUUGGCUUGUUUGUUUUCUAGAUCCCUCUACCAGUUUCUGUAUACUACAGCCAAUGCGUCUUGUGUGUAUGGCCACUUAACCAAGGAUACAAGGCAGGUGAGUCAAAAGUCUAAAUGUUACCAAGUGCUCUUGAUUCUUUCUGAAGAAUUCUUUCUUGAUUCUAUCUGA
RNAcentral lists this long non-coding RNA (345 nucleotides) under Podarcis muralis (Common wall lizard). RNAcentral's name for it is "lncRNA (ENSPMRG00000005987.1)". Lineage: Eukaryota; Metazoa; Chordata; Lepidosauria; Squamata; Lacertidae. The record is from RNAcentral.